Molecule: long non-coding RNA, 2024 nt
Organism: Nematostella vectensis (starlet sea anemone)
Lineage: Eukaryota; Metazoa; Cnidaria; Anthozoa; Actiniaria; Edwardsiidae
Exons: 2
Source: RefSeq, a predicted model, not a curated record
UUGCCACACCUCCCUCCAGAAUUUUGUUUUCAAGUAAAUAAUCCCCCUUCCCACCCCCCCCCCCCCACCAAAGUAAAAAUGGGCAUUUCCCUCACCCGUGCCCCUCCCCCUUCUACAGCUGCCAACGGUCCUGCAAUAAACUUUCGAUUAAACGAUUGGUGAACAGGAGUUAAAUCGAUCAUACCUGAAGAUUCGUCAUUAUUCGAAGAUUCUCCAAGUUAUUUUCUAUGACAAGAAUUUGAGAAUACAUCUCGAUACUUGAAUCAAGAUCUUUUACCCCAUGAGACGAAUUGCAUGGUCGUGCCGGCAAGUAUUCGAACGGAGAGGACGUGUAAGCUUCUCCAUCCAAAGAAAUUGAGUCGGAACUCUCCGAAAAAGUCCGCUUUCUUUUCCUCUCAUUCGAUAUUUCACCUGGUUUAAUAUCCGAACGAAAUAAAUGAAUCAAUCCUUCUUCUUAUGAACGACAGGUUAAGAGUACCAAAACAAAAAUUAUAAUAUCUAAACGGCUCUAUCUGAACGUCUACAGGAGCUAUCGGAGUUGCAAAGGUUUAUACUGGCCCAUACAGAAGACCAUCUACGGUGAAGCAAGUGAUCGGCUACGAACACCUCAAGCAAGGGGACUUCGUAGCUGUGAACCUUGCUAACUAUCGACCACCCAAUAUAGGAAAGGUGGCCGAGCUGCGAGGUGAGGAGUUCCUUAUCGAAUGGUGGAAAGGAUCCUGGUUGAGGUCGUGGCGGAUCUGGGAGGGAUGCGAAAAAGAAGUCCUCCCAGUAAAGUGCAUCCUCCUCUACGCCUUCGAGCUCGACGCAGAUAGAAAGCUGGUGAAGGACACUAAGCAAAACUUGAGGGCAGCGUACAAAAAUGUUUAAGUAUUACUAGUAGAAUAUCCUGCCAUUUUAACUAUUUGAUUCAUAACAAGGAAGAUGCUUUAUCACAUAAACAUAUGAGCGGCCAGUUUCAAGGGCGGUAGGAACAGUGUUUGUUAGGCUAAAUUCUGAAAAUUUCCCUCUAAUUUGGCUAAAAUGUGCCUUGUUUGUUAGGCUAGAUUCUGAUAAUAAACCACGUAUUUCCCUCUAAUUUGGCUGUGCCUUAUUUGCGACGCCCUCUCGAAGUUUGAUUACAAAAAAACAUUCAAGUUACGUUGGGUAACGUUUUUAGUCGAGCACGUUUCGGCUAGCGCGUCGGGGACAGUUUUCGCGCUACGGGGUAGUAGAUCGGGUUACCCAACGUAAUUUGACCGGGUUUUAAAAAAUCAAACAAGGAGAGCGCGUCGCAAAUAAGGCACAGCCAAAUUAGAGGGAAAUUCGUGGUUUAUUAUCAAGAUUUAGCCUAACAAACACUGUUCCUACCUAGUUUCACACAUUUCACUGGCAUUUUUUUUCUGUAGGCUAUCUGUAGGGUUUGAUAGUUUUUCCCGCACAAAAACCCCGAGUUCGCAUAUCACUCUCCUUGCGCAGCGCUAAAUCCAAGAUGGCGGCCGUGAUAUGCAAACUGUGUUUUCGGGGUUUCGUGCCGGAAAAACUAUAAAAGCCUACAGAUAGGCUAUUUUGCAAACUCGCCAACACCCUUCUUAGGAUUUUGAAAUUUGUUUGUUAUGGAGGUUACUCCAGGGAAAAUGGAAAAAAGAACGAUUAUCCGUACAAAAUUUUUCAAGGCCCGCAAGAGGAACAGAAGAAGAGAGAAGAAGAAAGCCAAAUACCCGAUCAGGUUAUACAGGCGUGAUUUUUUUCGUAGUUGCGGCAGAGGAACCGCUAUACAGAGUUUGCGCUAGGUUUCAAUCUUAAUUCAAAAUCACAAGAGUUUUGUAAUAAUUGGACUACGGUAAAUAUUCUUUUGCCAGAUGUUCAGUGUUAGUCGCAAGUGUGAAUAUCCAGGAGCAACCCUGAAAUAGAGUGUAAAGUACAAAUCUAGAACAAGUGACUGACAGUUUGGAAAGUGCACUAGUCUCAAUUACCCGGUCGAUGAAAAAGUACCAAUAAGGAAAUGUAGAUUACUAUUUGCAGAAUAAAGAAGUUUUAAACGG